RNAcentral lists this ribosomal RNA (292 nucleotides) under uncultured bacterium. Its description in RNAcentral is "partial 16S ribosomal RNA". It matches the Rfam family "Bacterial small subunit ribosomal RNA", at positions 29 to 334 of the family's 1533-position model. The record is from RNAcentral.
AACGAACGCUGGCGGUAUGCUUAACACAUGCAAGUCGAACGAGCACGACCUAGCUUGCUAGGUACGGCUAGUGGCAAACGGGUGAGUAACGCGUGGGAACCUACCUUAGAGUUGGGAAUAGCAGUUGGAAACGACUAUUAAUACCCAAUACGCCCUCCGGGGUAAAGAUUUAUUGCUUUAAGAUGGGCCCGCGUUAGAUUAGCUUGUUGGUAGGGUAAUGGCCUACCAAGGCAAUGAUCUAUAGCUGGUUUGAGAGGAUGAUCAGCCACACUGGAACUGAGACACGGUCCAG